Long non-coding RNA from Cervus elaphus (red deer), 1108 nucleotides. RefSeq lists it as uncharacterized. Lineage: Eukaryota; Metazoa; Chordata; Mammalia; Artiodactyla; Cervidae. The record is from RefSeq and is a predicted model, not a curated record. The transcript has 5 exons.
GCUGGAGGUAGAAGGUGGAGUUGAGCAGCUCUUCCAGCCUGCGCGGAACGUCGUUCUCGCGGUAAUACUCCAUCGCCUGCUGCUUCAGCUUCUGCAGCUCCCUAGUGGUCCCACAGCUGCGGCCGCCGCCUUCUUCCCCCAUGAUGAAAACAUCUGAGAUUCAGGGCAAAGCACCUUGCCCAGGGCCCCACAAGGAAUAGGUGAUGGAGAGUGUUGGUGUGUACAGAUUCUGUGGGUGUACAGCAAAGAACAAAAUGAAGUGUGAUUCCAGGUGGGAGAUGACUGCUUCAGGUGCUGUUUCCCUCUGGAACAUCAGGCCUUUCUGUGUUCUGGGGCAGGCUGCGGCAUCCCCUUGGAGGGGGUCAGCGUUGGGAGAUGUGUCUGUGUCCCUCUCCCUGACGUCACUGCGGUUACGGUUGGUGUCGAGCAGCUGAGCAGGCCUGACAUUGUUAGUGUGGAGCCCAGAGAAAUCUUAAACAGAGAAUUGUUACGUGUAGAUACGAGGAUGCCAUAUCCCCCACUGGAUUUCCUCUGCUGGAGCCACGGAAGCAGUGAAUAGAAGACCAGCUUGUCCCUGAACUUGACGGCGUCAGGAGCGGCUGGGCUCAGAUCACCGCAGAUGACUGUGUGGGGGUUACCACUCAGCAUACUAAGCCAGCACCUUCUUUCCUGUUGUCUGUGUAACUCCCAUUGUUUUAACCGAGCCGACUUCGUAGCCAGGGCUUCAUUCACUAUAGACAAAGCCUCCGUUAGAAAAAAUUAGAUCUCUGAAGCUUUUAGAGAGCUGGGGGAAAUCACAAGCCAUUAGCAAUGGAAGUUUCAAUUCCAGAUCCCUAGGCAGUAAUGACAGAUGGCAGUUCUCCCUUGUUAAUUCUUAAAAAAAAUAUAUUAAAUAUGAAAUAAACAGACCUAGGUGGUGGGGGCAGGGAAUGGCUUCCAGUAAUUAUUUAUUCCUGCCUGACUCUGGAAUGCAGCUUAGAGUUAGCAAUACAGAUGAUUCUGGCAAACUAUAGCUUUCAUUUUCAAUGUUCAACAGUACAGUUGAGAUAUACAUACAUUUAUAUGUAUCUAGAAUACUGGAGUGGAUUGUCAUUUCCUUCUAUAUAUA